Molecule: ribosomal RNA, 316 nt
Filed under: uncultured eukaryote
Lineage: Eukaryota
Description: partial 18S ribosomal RNA
Rfam family: Eukaryotic small subunit ribosomal RNA
Source: RNAcentral
CCCUUAGAUGUUCUGGGCCGCACGCGCGCUACACUGAUGCGUUCAACGAGUAUACAACCUUGAUCGAUAGGUCUGGGUAAUCUUUUGAAUGCGCAUCGUGCUAGGGAUAGACUGUUGCAAUUUUUGGUCUUCAACGAGGAAUUCCUAGUAAACGCAAGUCAUCAACUUGCAUUGAUUACGUCCCUGCCCUUUGUACACACCGCCCGUCGCACCUACCGAUUGAAUGGUCCGGUGAAGCCUCCGGAUUGGCGCGCACCUCGGUGCCGCCGAGAAGUUGGCUAAACCUUACCAUUUAGAGGAAGGUGAANUCGUAACA